GGAGAGAUGACCGAGAGGCCGAAGGUGCUCGCCUGCUAAGCGAGUGCGGGGGGAAAACUCCCGCCGAGGGUUCGAAUCCCUCUCUCUCCG
RNAcentral lists this transfer RNA (90 nucleotides) under Myxococcales bacterium. Its description in RNAcentral is "tRNA-Ser". It matches the Rfam family "tRNA". Rfam says of the family: Transfer RNA (tRNA) molecules are approximately 80 nucleotides in length. Their secondary structure includes four short double-helical elements and three loops (D, anti-codon, and T loops). Further hydrogen bonds mediate the characteristic L-shaped molecular structure. tRNAs have two regions of fundamental functional importance: the anti-codon, which is responsible for specific mRNA codon recognition, and the 3' end, to which the tRNAs corresponding amino acid is attached (by aminoacyl-tRNA synthetases). tRNAs cope with the degeneracy of the genetic code in two manners: having more than one tRNA (with a specific anti-codon) for a particular amino acid; and 'wobble' base-pairing, i.e. permitting non-standard base-pairing at the 3rd anti-codon position. The record is from RNAcentral. Lineage: Bacteria; Pseudomonadati; Myxococcota; Myxococcia; Myxococcales.